Molecule: ribosomal RNA, 253 nt
Filed under: uncultured bacterium
Lineage: Bacteria
Description: partial 16S ribosomal RNA
Rfam family: Bacterial small subunit ribosomal RNA
Source: RNAcentral
UACGUAGGGUGCAAGCGUUGUCCGGAAUUAUUGGGCGUAAAGAGCUCGUAGGCGGUUCGUCGCGUCGGCUGUGAAAACCCGGAGCUCAACUCCGGGCCUGCAGUCGAUACGGGCGGACUCGAGUUCGGCAGGGGAGACUGGAAUUCCUGGUGUAGCGGCGAAAUGCGCAGAUAUCAGGAGGAACACCGGUGGCGAAGGCGGGUCUCUGGGCCGAUACUGACGCUGAGGAGCGAAAGCGUGGGGAGCGAACAGG